GGCCCACCACUUUCAUCGAGUGAGCAUUCGUCUUCUGGUUACGGGGCCAUAGCUCAGCUGGGAGAGCGCGUGCUUUGCAAGCAUGAGGUCGUCGGUUCGAUCCCGUCUGGCUCCACCAGAUGGUUUGAUCACCGAGAUCUUGACCGUCGUCCGCGAAACAUCACUUCGCAUCCUGCUAGUCUGGAUAGACAGCAGUUUGCGUGUUUUCUGACAUCGUAAAGAGGAGAUCGAUCCGAGUUGGGUCGUGCAGCAUAUCGUUGCGCGAGCCUUCAUUAUCUCCGGAUCAUUUCGGCGCUCGCUUCCAGCCGUGAGGUUGGAUGCGGGUUGUAAAUGAUCCUUUUAGCGAAGCUUGACCGCCUCGCUAUCGGAACGAUCUUACGAAGCAAGCUGGUCUUUCUAGUCAAUGUCCGGCUGCGGAUAGCGUUCAUCGAGGGCGCGUGCCGCAAGGCAAUUCUGCAGACAACAUUCUGCCGAGUGUGUGGACAUUGAUAAUGAGAGCAAUCAAGUGCCUUAAGGGUGUUCGGUGGAUGCCUUGGCGCUGAGAGGCGAUGAAGGACGUGCUACGCUGCGAUAAGCCGUGGGGAGCUGCGAAGAAGCUUUGAUCCGCGGAUUUCCGAAUGGGAAAA
RNAcentral lists this unclassified non-coding RNA (626 nucleotides) under uncultured Bradyrhizobium sp. Its description in RNAcentral is "partial 16S-23S ribosomal RNA intergenic spacer". The stretch from base 500 to 626 matches the Rfam family "Bacterial large subunit ribosomal RNA", at positions 1 to 126 of the family's 2925-position model. Lineage: Bacteria; Pseudomonadati; Pseudomonadota; Alphaproteobacteria; Hyphomicrobiales; Nitrobacteraceae. The record is from RNAcentral.